This 424-nucleotide ribosomal RNA is filed under the name uncultured bacterium. RNAcentral describes it as "bacterial SSU rRNA". It matches the Rfam family "Bacterial small subunit ribosomal RNA", at positions 354 to 776 of the family's 1533-position model. The record is from RNAcentral.
GUGAGGAAUAUUGGUCAAUGGGCGAGAGCCUGAACCAGCCAAGUCGCGUGAGGGAAGACGGUCCUAUGGAUUGUAAACCUCUUUUGCCGGGGAGCAAAGAGCGGUACGUGUACCGCGCCGAGAGUACCCGGAGAAAAAGCAUCGGCUAACUCCGUGCCAGCAGCCGCGGUAAUACGGAGGAUGCGAGCGUUAUCCGGAUUUAUUGGGUUUAAAGGGUGCGUAGGCGGACGAUCAAGUCAGCGGUCAAAUGUCGGGGCUUAACCCCGGCCUGCCGUUGAAACUGGUUGUCUUGAGUGAGCGAGAGGUAUGCGGAAUGCGUGGUGUAGCGGUGAAAUGCAUAGAUAUCACGCAGAACUCCGAUUGCGAAGGCAGCAUACCGGCGCCCAACUGACGCUCAUGCACGAAAGCGUGGGUAUCGAACAGG